GAUGAAGAACGUAGCGAAAUGCGAUACGUAAUGUGAAUUGCAGAAUUCAGUGAAUCAUCGAAUCUUUGAACGCAUAUUGCGCUCUUUGGUAUUCCGAAGAGCAUGCUUGUUUGGGUAUCAGUAAACACCUCAAAGACUUCAAUUUGUUUUGAAUGGCUUUGGACUUGAGCAAUCCCAACACCAGUCUUUACGAUCGGUGGAGGGUUGCUUGAAAUGCAGGUGCAGCUGGACAUUCUCCUGAGCUAAAAGCAUAUUUAUUUAGUCCCGUCAAACGGAUUAUUACUUUUGCUGCAGCUAACAUAAAGGGAGUUUGACCGUAUUGGCUGACUGAUGCAGGAUUUCACAAGGGUCGGCAACGAUUCUUGUAAAACUCGAUCUCAAAUCAAGUAAGACUACCCGCUGAACUUAAGCAUAUCAAUAAGCGGAGGA
This 429-nucleotide unclassified non-coding RNA is filed under the name soil metagenome. RNAcentral's name for it is "partial contains 5.8S ribosomal RNA, internal transcribed spacer 2, and large subunit ribosomal RNA". The stretch from base 1 to 120 matches the Rfam family "5.8S ribosomal RNA", at positions 35 to 154 of the family's 154-position model. The record is from RNAcentral.